AUUGAACGCUGGCGGCAGGCCUAACACAUGCAAGUCGAACGGUAACAGGAAGAAGCUUGCUUCUUUGCUGACGAGUGGCGGACGGGUGAGUAAUGUCUGGGAAACUGCCUGAUGGAGGGGGAUAACUACUGGAAACGGUAGCUAAUACCGCAUAACGUCGCAAGACCAAAGAGGGGGACCUUCGGGCCUCUUGCCAUCGGAUGCGCCCAGAUGGGAUUAGCUAGUAGGUGGGGUAACGGCUCACCUAGGUGGCGAUCUCUAGCUGGUCUGAGAGGAUGACCGGCGACACUAGAACGGGGACACGGUCAAGAGUCCUGCGGGAGGCAGCAGUGGGGAAUAUUGCACAAUAGGGGGAAGCCUGAUGCAGCCAUGCCGCGUGUAUGAAAAAGGCCUUCGGGUUGUAAAGUACGUUCAGCGGGGAGGAAGGGAGUAAAGUUAAUACCUUUGCUCAUUGACGUUACCCGCAGAAGAAGCACCGGCUAACUCCGUG
Molecule: ribosomal RNA, 490 nt
Filed under: uncultured bacterium
Lineage: Bacteria
Description: partial 16S ribosomal RNA
Rfam family: Bacterial small subunit ribosomal RNA
Source: RNAcentral